CUAUAUUAUAAUUUAAUAUAUUUUUUAAGAGCCAAAGCAUAGAAAUCUACAAAUUUGACAGUUUAUUCAAUGGCUUAAUAUCUUGACAAAGCGAAUUUAGAAAUCUCAACACCAUUUUAAAUAUCUUUGUUUAGAUUGUAGUAGUUUGUAGACGAACACUUUCCGGUACCAAACUGUCAUGAACUUCCGCCGUAAUUGACCUACUUAACUCUAUGUUAACUCUAAAGAUAAAAGAUGUUGAAGCUAUCAAAAUGCUAAUAAGAAACUCAGCUAUAGGAAACAAUUUGAAUAAGCCCUAACCAAAUUUACAUCUAAAAUAUACAAGAUAUGGCUAAUAAUAUUAAUUUUGAUACAGAUGUGAAUUUCUAUGGCACGUGCAAAGAUAAAUAUGUAAACUAUAUACAAGAAUUUGAUGAGCUUAUGACUUGCGUCAUUGCAGAGAUUAGGGAAAUCGCCGGCAACUUGAAGUUAUUUAUAGGCCGAAAGCAUUAGGCGUAAGCUCUAUUUAAAGUGCACUUAAACAACCUUAACAAACAAACUGAUGACAGCAGCGCAUUAAAUGCGAUUUUAAUUAAAUUAGUAACCAAAUCAUAAGUAAUAAGGCCAAACGCACAAAUGGAGGCUGCGAGAUAUC
This is a long non-coding RNA of Drosophila hydei, 634 nucleotides long. RefSeq lists it as uncharacterized. The transcript is spliced from 4 exons. NCBI's taxonomy places the organism in Eukaryota, Metazoa, Arthropoda, Insecta, Diptera, Drosophilidae. The record is from RefSeq and is a predicted model, not a curated record.